RNAcentral lists this ribosomal RNA (494 nucleotides) under uncultured bacterium. RNAcentral's name for it is "partial 16S ribosomal RNA". It matches the Rfam family "Bacterial small subunit ribosomal RNA", at positions 28 to 507 of the family's 1533-position model. The record is from RNAcentral.
GACGAACGCUGGCGGCGUGCUUAACACAUGCAAGUCGAACGGAAAGGCCUGCUUUCCCUUGUGGAUUGCGGGUACUCGAGUGGCGAACGGGUGAGUAACACGUGAGUGAUCUGCCCCCAACUUGGGUAUAAGCCUGGGAAACUGGGUCUAAUUCCCGAUAGGACUGCAGGGUGGUGCCUGUGGUGGAAAACGAUUUUCUAGUGGUUGGGGAUGAGCUCGCGGCCUAUCAGCUUGUUGGUGGGGUAAUGGCCUACCAAGGCGGCGACGGGUAGCCGGCCUGGGAGGGUGGACGGCCACAGUGGGACUGAGAUACGGCCCAGACUCCUACGGGAGGCAGCAGUGGGGAAUAUUGAACGAUGGGCGGAAGCCUGAUGCAGCGACGCCGCGUGGGGGAUGACGGCCUUCGGGUUGUAAACUCCUUUCGACCGAGAGGAAGCCACCUGGUUGGAAGGGUGGUGACGGUAGUGGUAGAAGAAGCACCGGCUAACUACGUG